This 497-nucleotide ribosomal RNA is filed under the name uncultured bacterium. RNAcentral describes it as "partial 16S ribosomal RNA". It matches the Rfam family "Bacterial small subunit ribosomal RNA", at positions 28 to 507 of the family's 1533-position model. The record is from RNAcentral.
GAUGAACGCUGGCGGCGUGCCUAAUACAUGCAAGUCGAGCGAACAGACGAGGAACUUGCUCCUCUGACGUUAGCGGCGGAAGGGUGAGUAAGACGUGGAUAACCUACCGAGAAAACUGGGAUAAAUUCGGGAAACCGGAGCUAAUACCGGAUAAUAUAGUGAACCGCAUGGUUCAAUAGUGAAAGAGGGUUUUGCUGUCAAUGAUAGAUGGAUCCGCGCCGCAUUAGCUAGUUGGUAAGGUAACGGCUUACCAAGGCAACGAUGCGUAGCCGACCUGAGAGGAUGAUCAGCCACACUGGAACUGAGACACGGUCCAGACUCCUACGGGAGGCAGCAGUAGGGAAUCUUCCGCAAUGGGCGCAAGCCUGACGGAGCAAUGCCGCGUGAGUGAUGAAGGUCUUCGGAUCGUAAAACUCUGUUAUUAGGGAAGAAAAAAUGUGUAAGUAACUAUGCACGUCUUGACGGUACCUAAUCAGAAAGCCACGGCUAACUACGUG